GACAACCAGCUAGGCCUGAAUACUCAAACUGUCUUGGUGAGAUGGAUAAGAUUUAUUUGCCUUGCAGCAGAGCACCAUCAACUUGAGAUCCUCUACAUGCCAAGCUACCCAACCUGUUAUUGUUGGGGGAAGUUAAAAAGUGAUACUAGGUGUGGAUGUCAAAACUCGAGGAGGGAUUCUCACAAGAAAGCAGUUGUUUAUUCAAGGAUCCCAUUGAUCAAGACAAGAAGUGGAUCUGGAAAGGAAAGGAAAAAAAGAAAGACGAUUCCCUUUCAACCAGAUACAAGAAUAGAUUCAAACUGCCAAAAAUAUCUACGUGUUAAAGCAGGGGGCCAAACAAAAAGCCCAUUCUGAACAAUAUCAUGGAGUCAACUGCAUGCCCAGCAGUUUCUUCAGUCAAUGCCUCUGACUCAGCUAACAUAGUUUCACCUCCAAUGUCAGAAAACACUGAAGAAUCUGAAGUUUCCCAGAACACUCAGUCAACAGAGUCUCCUGCCCUCCUGGAUCCUUCACUGCAAAGGGGCAGAACCCCCACUAGGGCACGGAUGGCCAUGGAUUCAAAUCAUACCCAAAGAGUUGUUCGGCAGUUCAGCCAAUCCAGACCUGUUGUGCCCAAGCCACCUUCCACCAAUCUUUCCUUGCUGAUCCUCACAGCUGUGGCCACGUGCCAGAAAAAGUCAGGCCUGUCCAUGCAAGCCCUGAAGAAAAUUGUGACAAGCAUGGGCUACGACAUGGCCAAGAAGAAGCGCUAUUUCCUGAGGUCUAUCAAAAGCAUGGUGGCUAAAGGGCAGCUCUGGCAAGUCAAAGGAACCGGAGCCACAGGCUCCUUCAAGGUCAAUCCUGACUUGCGGAAGAAACGACAGCAACCAAAGGUGAAAGGAAGAGGUCAGAAGGCAAAGGGGUCCAGCAAGAAGAAAAAUGGCCCAACUAGAUCCAGAAGUGGCAGGAACGCCACCAAGAAGCAAGGGAAGGUCGAUUCCUCUAAGAGAGCUUCCAACAGAAGCAGAAUGCCUUCUAUUCAAGCUGUUCAAAGCCAAGUCAAAGUUUGAAGGAUGCCUAACCUGUCCUCUGGAAUGGACUUCUGCAUCCUUAUGACAAUAAAGCAAUACCUGUAUUUAAAAAUCAA
Pogona vitticeps (central bearded dragon) is the source of this 1126-nucleotide non-coding RNA. The record is from RefSeq and is a predicted model, not a curated record. Lineage: Eukaryota; Metazoa; Chordata; Lepidosauria; Squamata; Agamidae.